Molecule: long non-coding RNA, 247 nt
Filed under: Elaeis guineensis (African oil palm)
Lineage: Eukaryota; Viridiplantae; Streptophyta; Magnoliopsida; Arecales; Arecaceae
Description: long non-coding RNA (EGUI_LNC064875)
Source: RNAcentral
UCUCCGGAGCCUUGCGGUAAUAGAUUUAUGCUAGAGGAAGGAUUUGAAUAAUUUCUUGUGAAAAAGAUGGUUAGAGUGCGAGCACCAAAUAAUUUUUUGGCAUCUCCAUCCUCUCUAGAUGUCCUACCAGAAGCUUUCCAGCAACAACCAGUUGCUAUUGAUCCUCAACAAUUCAUCCUGCUUGUUCAAGAAAUCCAAGCUUUGACAGCAGCUAUUCAACAGCUUCAAAAGAUUGAGGAGCGACAUC